AAUCCAGCCAGUUGGCAGAUUCCAGGUGUACGUUACUAUAUAUAUGUCAAGAUCAUGGGAGAUCUCCAAGCUGUGGAUGAAGUGGAUAUACAUAAAACAAGGCAGAAGUGAGUCCAGCUGGUGGAGAAAGAGUGGAGUGAAACAAGGCAAGGAGAGGAACAAUUUCCACUAAAAAUAAAAUUAUUCAAAACCAGUCUUCAAACCCUUCAGGAAAUUCUGGUGAGAAAAGAAGAUAAACAGGAGACUAGAGAGAUGGAUAUCCAGACACAAUAGGGAGUAGGUUGGACUGUAGCUUGAUGUUUCUGCUGAUGUAUUAGGGUAAGAAGCAUUUGAAUUCAAAGAUAAGUACAACUGAAAAACGGGAAGUGGAGACUUUUUAUCAAGUCUUGAACUAAAGGGGUAGGGGUUUUAACCAGCUAUAAGCUGACUCUCAGUUGUAUAGGUAGGUGUAAGAAAGUGAGGGUGGCUAUUCUGAGCAAGGGGAAUCAAGACAGGGACCAUGAGGGAAUGUCAGUUAUUGCAAAUACAGUGACAUUUCCAAGUAUUAGUGUCUUUGAGUGUUCAGAUAUCCUAAAAACAUAGAUUUACAUGAUUUUAACCCAUUAGAGAAAGCUGUAUUUUAAAACACAUAUUUAUUAUUAACUAAGUCUGAAAGACUAAACAAAAACAUCAAAAAGCAAUCAGAAAAGAAGUACUGACAUAUCACUAGUUAAAUGAAAUGUCACAAGUCAGAAAAGAGGGUGAUAAAACAAAAAAGGUUAGAAAAUAUUACUAUUUAUAUAUACAAAGGAAAUUUUGUUUGCUCUACAAAUAAGGGUAGACAUAAUUGGAUUAACUGCUUUUUUGAUAGGAAUGAUUCAUUGGAAACAUAGAUCAUAAAAAUUAUAACAGAAUUUAGAUAAGUUAAGAGGUUGAACAUAAAAAUAAAAAUCACUCAUUUUGUAUGUAUCUCUUGAGUACCUACUAUGUUCCAGUCACUAUUCUAAUCAUUGGGGUAUGUAAAGAAGAACAUAGACAU
Molecule: long non-coding RNA, 1018 nt
Filed under: Homo sapiens (human)
Lineage: Eukaryota; Metazoa; Chordata; Mammalia; Primates; Hominidae
Description: HSALNT0109037
Source: RNAcentral